CAGUAUACUUUCCAUGGAGGACUGGCUGGGGAGUUCCGUACAAAACCUCUAUGGAAAAGACUCAGUUUAAGAACUGCUGAUGGAGGAAUGAACAGAUAGUGUGAUCUGCAAACGGACUGGAAGUUUGUUGAACUUGUUGACGCUGUUGGAGAGAGCUGGGGGUGUGCAAGAAGAUGAGAGGACGGGGACAAAGCCAGGACAGCAGACCCAAACUGGCCUAAGGGAUGCCCCAUACUGUAUGGUGUCAUGUUGAGCAAUGAAACUGGAGGAGUUGGCUGGGGGAAUGCCAGUGUUUCGAGUCUGGCUGGACAUUGGUUGGCUGGUGAAAAAAUCCUACAUUCUUGUUCUGGAAAUCAACAGGAGUUAUCAAAAGCUUGUUUUCUGAAAUAAGACUAACAUUGUAAGUAUAAUUUCUUAAGUUUAUCCUGCUUAACAUAUUUGGUUCAAUGACAAAAACUA
RNAcentral lists this long non-coding RNA (459 nucleotides) under Anas zonorhyncha (Eastern spot-billed duck). RNAcentral describes it as "lncRNA (ENSAZOG00000000960.1)". Lineage: Eukaryota; Metazoa; Chordata; Aves; Anseriformes; Anatidae. The record is from RNAcentral.